UAGUAACUGCGAGUGAAGCGGGAAAAGCUCAAAUUUAAAAUCUGGUGGUCUUUGGUCAUCCGAGUUGUAAUUUAGAGAAGCGUCUUCCGCGCUGGACCAUGCACAAGUCUCCUGGAAUGGAGCGUCAUAGAGGGUGAGAAUCCCGUCUUUGGCAUGGAUGCACCAGGGCUUCUGUGAUGCGCUCUCAAAGAGUCGAGUUGUUUGGGAAUGCAGCUCAAAAUGGGUGGUGAACUCCAUCUAAAGCUAAAUAUUGGCGAGAGACCGAUAGCGAACAAGUACCGUGAGGGAAAGAUGAAAAGCACUUUGGAAAGAGAGUGAAACAGUACGUGAAAUUGUUGAAAGGGAAACGCUUGAAGUCAGUCGCGUCGACCGAGACUCAGCCUUGCCUUGGCUUGGUGUACUUCUCGGCUGACGGGUCAGUGUCAAUUUUGGGCCUCGGAUAAUGACAAGGGAAAGGUGGCACCUUUAUAGGUGUGUUAUAGUCUCCUGUCGGAUGCGAGGGUCGGGAUUGAGGAACUCAGCACGCGCCUUUUGGUGUCGGGGCUUCGGCCUACGCUACGUGCUUAGGAUGCUGGCAUAAUGGCUUUAAACGACCCGUCUUGAAACACGGACCAAGGAGUCUAACAUGCCCGCGAGUGUUCGGGUGGAA
Molecule: ribosomal RNA, 649 nt
Filed under: Russula sp.
Lineage: Eukaryota; Fungi; Basidiomycota; Agaricomycetes; Russulales; Russulaceae
Description: partial large subunit ribosomal RNA
Rfam family: Eukaryotic large subunit ribosomal RNA
Source: RNAcentral